RNAcentral lists this small RNA (81 nucleotides) under Arenibacter echinorum. RNAcentral's name for it is "Flavo-1 RNA". The record is from RNAcentral. Lineage: Bacteria; Pseudomonadati; Bacteroidota; Flavobacteriia; Flavobacteriales; Flavobacteriaceae.
AUUUUGCGUUAAGGAUUGAAGUGAAAAGCCCGCAGUUCUGAAAUUCAGGACGAGGACUUAUAGCGUAAAGCCUGACGGCCA